UACAGAGGGUGCGAGCGUUAAUCGGAAUGACUGGGCGUAAAGGGCACGUAGGCGGUAGAACAAGUUAGAUGUGAAAUAUCAGGGCUCAACCUUGGUGCUGCAUCUAAAACUGUUUUACUAGAGUUCACUAGAGGGAAGCGGAAUUUCCGGUGUAGCAGUGAAAUGCGUAGAUAUCGGAAGGAACACCAGUGGCGAAGGCGGCUUUCUGGAGUUGAACUGACGCUAAGGUGCGAAAGCGUGGGGAGCAAACAGGAUUAGAUACCCGCGUA
RNAcentral lists this ribosomal RNA (269 nucleotides) under uncultured prokaryote. RNAcentral's name for it is "partial 16S ribosomal RNA". It matches the Rfam family "Bacterial small subunit ribosomal RNA", at positions 524 to 792 of the family's 1533-position model. The record is from RNAcentral.